UGCCAGCAGCCGCGGUAAUACGGAGGGUGCAAGCAUUAAUCGGAUUUAUUGGGCGUAAAGAGCGCGUAGGCGGAAAGGCAAGUCAGAUGUGAAAUCCCGGGGCUCAACCUCGGAACUGCACCUGAAACUGCCUUCCUAGAGGGUAGGCGGAGAAAGCGGAAUUCCACGUGUAGCGGUGAAAUGCGUAGAUAUGUGGAAGAACACCAGUGGCGAAGGCGGCUUUCUAGCUUAUUCCUGACGCUGAGGCGCGAAAGCUAGGGGAGCGAACAGGAUUAGAUA
RNAcentral lists this ribosomal RNA (279 nucleotides) under uncultured bacterium. Its description in RNAcentral is "partial 16S ribosomal RNA". It matches the Rfam family "Bacterial small subunit ribosomal RNA", at positions 506 to 784 of the family's 1533-position model. The record is from RNAcentral.